CUCCCUUGCUCCAGGCUCAUUCCCUGUGACCACACGGGGGAAUACACUGGGGAAUGCACUCCCUAUUGUGUUACAGCCCAGCUCUUUGACCCUAGGGUUUAUGAUUAUCAAAAAUUAAGGAGCCAAGCAAUGAGGGGGCAGCCAGCCUGCUUUCCAGGGAUGGACGGGUCCUGGACACUAUCUCCUGGAUGCCAAUGAGUGGCUGAGAGCUGAAGCUCCAUGGACGCUCAAGGCUCUUGUGGUGACAGCUGCCAGGCAUCUCCCUGUUUCACUCUGUGGCAAAACUGCUCCAUGGUGUCCUCUGCACUCAGCUCCAGUUCCUCUCCUGUGAAACCUUCCCCUGUCAGGAGGUCUUUGGGGACCACUGAACCAACGCUGCUCCUGUCAAGGUCAUCAGUCAUCCCCAUGUUGCUGCAUCCUGUGGUCAAUAUCAGUCACUUCCCAGGCCCCAUCUCACUUGACCCAUCACAGAAGCCUUCGACUCUGUUGAUAUUUGUACCAUGAACUUUAUUCCACAAAUAAUAAAGAAAGGUUUUGAAAACCAGAUCGUGUCAUCAGUUUUUAAAAUUAUGUUAUAAUGGAUACAUACAAAAGAAACUGUGGAAUGCAUAUAUUAAUAUUCAGGUUAGAUACAAAUGUGCCCUUCCCACCCUGUUGAGUCUUACACAUGUGGGGAUAUUAUUCCCUUGCACAAAUUAGGAGAGGGGGGUCAGAGAGGUUAAGACACCUGCAGGAGGCAGAGCUAGGAUUUGAACCCAACUCUGACUCUAAAAUCUGUAUUUCAUCCAGUAGGCAGCACUGCCCUCAAGGAAGAUCCAGGUUUUUUGGAGCCUGAGGUAAAUACAUUUCAGAGCCUGUUUGCAAAAUAUAAAUUGUAAAACCACAGUAGGUUUUUUUUUUUUUGUAAG
This 908-nucleotide long non-coding RNA is filed under the name Homo sapiens (human). RNAcentral's name for it is "HSALNT0034040". Lineage: Eukaryota; Metazoa; Chordata; Mammalia; Primates; Hominidae. The record is from RNAcentral.